AGCUUUUUAGUGGUGGAUUGUACUUCUCUUGGUCUGUUCCUGGUUAUCAGGAGGGAAAUUGAUUAGUAAUCUUGCUGUGACUUUGACAGUGUAUAAUCGGGAUUUAACUGCUAACAAGAACUCAGUUUCUCAUCUGUGGUCCUUCCCAUAAGAAAAUCAGUUUAAGUACAGAGAUACUGGGGAAAAAGAGUUUUCUGUCACCCUUAUGCAAACUACAUUAAGACAGAGCAAAUUCCUCAGUCCCAUCGUAUGCAAAAUUACUGAAAUAACUGAAAUUUAAAGCAGGGCUCUGAGCCUCAGUUCUGUUUUGACAUUACCACUGAAUGGUGAAAAACAUCUCACAUAUGCAGUGUAGAAAACUGUAUUCUGGAGCUCUUUAUCAUAAAGAGUAUUCUUGAACAUUUUGAAUUAGUCAGUUGUUGUCAGUAUUAUUGCUACUCUUGAUGUACUUAUUUCAUAACUUGUUUCAUGUUUCUGAAUCACCUGAACUGGGAAGGUGACAUCCUUUUUCUGUAGUUUCAAGGAUCAUGUAUAGCUCACUUAGCAGUAACUUGAUUUGUCCUUAACUUGGGUUUUCCCCAGACAUUCCUUGCUAAUGUGAUCUUUUAAUACCUUCUAAUUGUUCCCGUUGUAAACCAAUAAGCUGGUCAUUCUGUGUUCUUGUAUUCCUUCCCAUGCACACUUUAGACAGUCUGCCACUUGCAGUUCCAAGACAAUUGCUGUCUCAGUUCUGUUUUAUCAAGACUUUUCAGUCCAGUUUUCUAAUUCACUUGUCUUUACAACUGCUUCUCUGCAGAUACCAGUUGGGGUCCUGCUCCUCUCUGUUAUAAAAUGAAUAUUUUUGUUUUCCUCACAAAUUUGCCAUUAACUUGAAUUCUGGUUUGGCUAGUGUGUGGAAGUCAGUUUCCCUUCUUUUGUAGCUGUGAGUUUUAUUCCUCUAUGGAUGUAUGUCUCCUUUCCUAGAGUAGUUUGAGCUACAUCUAACUGCUACAAUCUGGAAUAGAAAUUUUACUGAAAGAAAUGUUUUUCAACUAAAUGCUGAGUUUUCUUUUCAAAUGCUAAUACAGAUAAUUUCUAGCUUUUACUUAGUUUUUGGAAAUCACGUACUGCUGUCCAAGAAACAGCUUGUAGCACUGUCUGUAUGCCUCAUGAUUACAUCUGAAGAUCCUACUUGAGUUUUAUUGGAAAUAUUAUCAAUAAAGAAAUUGCAUUUGGUUCAGUUAAAU
RNAcentral lists this long non-coding RNA (1226 nucleotides) under Gallus gallus (chicken). Its description in RNAcentral is "lncRNA (ENSGALG00010007095.1)". Lineage: Eukaryota; Metazoa; Chordata; Aves; Galliformes; Phasianidae. The record is from RNAcentral.